Molecule: ribosomal RNA, 406 nt
Filed under: uncultured bacterium
Lineage: Bacteria
Description: partial 16S ribosomal RNA
Rfam family: Bacterial small subunit ribosomal RNA
Source: RNAcentral
AUUGAACGCUGGCGGCAGGCCUAACACAUGCAAGUCGAGCGCGCGGCGCACGGGUGUGUAAUGUCUGGGAAACUGCCUGAUGGAGCGGGAUAACUCCUGGAAACGGUAGCUAAUACCCCAUACCAUCAGAUGUGCCCCGGUGGGAUUAGCUAGUAGGUGGGGUAACGGCUCACCUAGGCGACGAUCCCCAGCUGGUCUGAGAGGAUGACCAGCCACACUGGAACUGAGACACGGUCCAGACUCCUACGGGAGGCAGCAGUGGGGAAUAUUGGACAAUGGGCGCAAGCCUGAUGCAGCCAUGCCGCGUGUGUGAAGAAGGCCUUCGGGUUGUAAAGCACUUUCGGCGGGGAAGCGUUACCCGCAGAAGAAGCACCGGCUAACUCCGUGCCAGCAGCCGCGGUAAUUC